This 319-nucleotide ribosomal RNA is filed under the name uncultured eukaryote. RNAcentral describes it as "partial 18S ribosomal RNA". It matches the Rfam family "Eukaryotic small subunit ribosomal RNA", at positions 1470 to 1796 of the family's 1831-position model. The record is from RNAcentral.
CCCUUAGAUGUUCUGGGCUGCACGCGCGCUACACUGACGCACGCAACAGGUGCCUGCUCCGAGAGGACUGGGUAAUCAUUUGAGUGUGCGUCGUGAUGGGGAUAGAAUAUUGUAAUUAUUACUCUUCAACGAGGAAUUCCUAGUAAGCGCCAGUCAGCAGCUUGCGCUGAUUACGUCCCUGCCCUUUGUACACACCGCCCGUCGCUCCUACCGAUUGAAUGUUCCGGUGAGCUCUUCGGACUGCGCGGUCUGCAGUUUCUGCGUUCCGUGCGGAAAGUUGCGCAAACCUUAACAUUUAGAGGAAGGAGAAGUCGUAACA